RNAcentral lists this ribosomal RNA (659 nucleotides) under Serpula lacrymans. Its description in RNAcentral is "eukaryotic LSU rRNA". It matches the Rfam family "Eukaryotic large subunit ribosomal RNA", at positions 38 to 667 of the family's 3401-position model. The record is from RNAcentral. Lineage: Eukaryota; Fungi; Basidiomycota; Agaricomycetes; Boletales; Serpulaceae.
GCAUAUCAAUAAGCGGAGGAAAAGAAACUAACAAGGAUUCCCCUAGUAACUGCGAGUGAAGCGGGAAGAGCUCAAAUUUUAAAUCUGGCGGUCCUCGUGGUCGUCCGAGUUGUAAUCUAGAGAAGCGUUUUCCGCGCUGGACCGUGUACAAGUCUCCUGGAACGGAGCGUCAUAGAGGGUGAGAAUCCCGUCUCUGACACGGACUACCAGGGCUUUUGUGAUGCGCUCUCGACGAGUCGAGUUGUUUGGGAAUGCAGCUCAAAUUGGGUGGUAAAUUCCAUCUAAAGCUAAAUAUAGGCGAGAGACCGAUAGCGAACAAGUACCGUGAGGGAAAGAUGAAAAGAACUUUGGAAAGAGAGUUAAACAGUACGUGAAAUUGCUGAAAGGGAAACGCUUGAAGUCAGUCGCGUUGGCCGGGGAUCAGCCUUGCAAUCUUGUUGGGUGCAUUUCCUGGUUGACGGGUCAGCAUCAAUUCUGACCGUCGGAGAAGGGUUGAGGGAAUGUGGCAUCCUUCGGGGUGUGUUAUAGCCUUUGAUCGUAUGCGACGGUUGGGAUUGAGGAACUCAGCAUGACCCCUCGUGGGUUUGGGGCUUCGGCUCACAUCCAUGCUUAGGAUGCUGGCAUAAUGGCUUUAAGCGACCCGUCUUGAAACACGGACC